Coregonus clupeaformis (lake whitefish) is the source of this 646-nucleotide long non-coding RNA. RefSeq lists it as uncharacterized. The record is from RefSeq and is a predicted model, not a curated record. NCBI's taxonomy places the organism in Eukaryota, Metazoa, Chordata, Actinopteri, Salmoniformes, Salmonidae. The transcript is spliced from 2 exons.
UGCAUUCAGUCAGAACUUCUGGGUCUGCUCUAAUCUCCCUCCCAAUAUGUCUCUCGCGCUAGACGGCUUACUUCCGCACGUGAGACUAGAUCUGCUCUAUCAGGUACAGAAGGCGCUAAAGCAAAAAGCUAAUUGUAAUUAACUUGUAAAUAAAUCAUCAAAACAGUCAUGGGAGCCUGGGACCUGAUAAACCGGACAUCUACAUCUAACAAGAGUCGAAGGAAAGAGGGAUACACUAGCUAGAACCUUCUCAUUGCGGAUCUGGUAGGACAAAAAAGCUUGACGGUGGCUUAUUGUUUCCCCCCAUGUUGUUCAUCAGGUUCUGCUGUAGGUGACAGGGCGACAUGUUGUGUGGACUAAAACAGCAUAAAACCAGCUCUCAAGCUCCGGCACUCGACGUCGCGGAUUACUAACCACCGGUCCUGGCAACCUAUCAUUACGCACACCUGGCAACCAUCAUUAUGAACACCUGCGCCCCAUCAUCAUGCACACCUGGACUUCAUCACCACCUUGAUUACUUCCCCUUUAUCUAGCACUCUGUAGCCUCACUCAUCAGGCAGUACUGGUUUUGUUUUCAUUUCCAGACGUUUCUCUUGUUUUGUAUCGCUCCAUGUUUGUUGUUAUUAAACUCACCAACUGCACCUGC